GACGUAGGGUGCAAGCGUUGUCCGGAUUUACUGGGCGUAAAGAGCGCGUAGGCGGCUCGUUAAGUGAGAAGUGAAAGCUCUUGGCUCAACCAAGAAACCGCUUUUCAUACUGGCGAGCUGGAGUGAUGCAGAGGUGGAUAGAAUUCCCGGUGUAGCGGUGAAAUGCGUAGAUAUCAUGAGGAAUACCAGAGGCGAAGGCGGCUACCUGGACAAUUGCUGACGCUCAGGCACGAAAGCGUGGGGAGCAAAAGGG
Molecule: ribosomal RNA, 253 nt
Filed under: uncultured bacterium
Lineage: Bacteria
Description: partial 16S ribosomal RNA
Rfam family: Bacterial small subunit ribosomal RNA
Source: RNAcentral